UCAACAGAGAGAAGCAAUACCGCGAGGUGGAGCAAAACUUCAAAAAUGGUCUCAGUUCGGACUGUAGGCUGCAACUCGCCUACACGAAGUUGGAAUUGCUAGUAAUCGUGGAUCAGCAUGCCACGGUGAAUACGUUCCCGGGUCUUGUACACACCGCCCGUCACACCAUGGGAGUCAGCAACGCCCGAAGUCAGUGACCUAACCGAAAGGAAGGAGCUGCCGAAGGCGGGGCCGGUAACUGGGGUGAAGUCGUAACAAGGUAAC
Molecule: ribosomal RNA, 264 nt
Filed under: uncultured bacterium
Lineage: Bacteria
Description: partial 16S ribosomal RNA
Rfam family: Bacterial small subunit ribosomal RNA
Source: RNAcentral